GUAGGUGGCAAGCGUUAUCCGGAAUUAUUGGGCGUAAAGCGCGCGCAGGCGGGUUUCUUAAGUCUGAUGUGAAAGCCCACGGGCUCAACCGUGGAGGGUCAUUGGAAACUGGGGAACUUGAGUGCAGAAGAGAAAAGCGGAAUUCCACGUGUAGCGGUGAAAUGCGUAGAGAUGUGGAGGAACACCAGUGGCGAAGGCGGCGUUUUUGGUCUGUAACUGACGCUGAGGCGCGAAAGCGUGGGGAGCAAACAGGAUUAGAUACCCUGGUAGUCCACGCCGUAAACGAUGAGUGCUAAGUGUUAGAGGGUUUCCGCCCUUUAGUGCUGCAGCUAACGCAUUAAGCACUCCGCCUGGGGAGUACGGUCGCAAAGACUG
RNAcentral lists this ribosomal RNA (375 nucleotides) under uncultured organism. Its description in RNAcentral is "partial 16S ribosomal RNA". It matches the Rfam family "Bacterial small subunit ribosomal RNA", at positions 527 to 896 of the family's 1533-position model. The record is from RNAcentral.